AGUGGGAGGGGGGGAUCCCCUCAGCCCAGAUUGCGAGAGGGUGCAGGCCUGGCCGAGGGACCCCACUGAUGCACG
This 75-nucleotide microRNA precursor is filed under the name Myotis brandtii (Brandt's bat). Its description in RNAcentral is "mir-9193 microRNA precursor family". It matches the Rfam family "mir-9193 microRNA precursor family". Lineage: Eukaryota; Metazoa; Chordata; Mammalia; Chiroptera; Vespertilionidae. The record is from Rfam by way of RNAcentral.